RNAcentral lists this ribosomal RNA (391 nucleotides) under uncultured Sordariomycetidae. Its description in RNAcentral is "SSU rRNA". It matches the Rfam family "Eukaryotic small subunit ribosomal RNA", at positions 183 to 575 of the family's 1831-position model. Lineage: Eukaryota; Fungi; Ascomycota; Sordariomycetes. The record is from RNAcentral.
UCGACGAUUGGAAGGGGUGUAUUUAUUAGAUACAAAACCAAUGCCCUUCGGGGCUUACUUGGUGAUUCAUGAUAACUUCUCGAAUCGCACGGCCCCGCGCCGGCGAUGGUUCAUUCAAAUUUCUUCCCUAUCAACUUUCGAUGCUACGGUAGUGUCCUAGCAUAGUUGCAACGGGUGACGGAGGGUUAGGGCUCGACCCCGGAGAAGGAGCCUGAGAAACGGCUACUACAUCCAAGGAAGGCAGCAGGCGCGCAAGUUACCCAAUCCCGACACGGGGAGGUAGUGACAAUAAAUACUGAUACAGGGCUCUUUUGGGUCUUGUAAUCGGAAUGAGUACAAUUUAAAUCCCUUAACGAGGAACAAUUGGAGGGCAAGUCUGGUGCCAGCAAAU